Molecule: small nuclear RNA, 86 nt
Organism: Anolis carolinensis (green anole)
Lineage: Eukaryota; Metazoa; Chordata; Lepidosauria; Squamata; Anolidae
Gene: U2
Rfam family: U2 spliceosomal RNA
About the family: U2 is a small nuclear RNA (snRNA) component of the spliceosome (involved in pre-mRNA splicing). Complementary binding between U2 snRNA (in an area lying towards the 5' end but 3' to hairpin I) and the branchpoint sequence (BPS) of the intron results the bulging out of an unpaired adenosine, on the BPS, which initiates a nucleophilic attack at the intronic 5' splice site, thus starting the first of two transesterification reactions that mediate splicing.
Source: Ensembl
AUCGCUUCUCGGCCUUUUGGCUAAGAUCAAGUGUAGUAUCUGUUGCUGGCCCUCGUGGCAGAAUGUAAGCCGCUCUGAGUCCCCUU